GAGACAUAAUGCAGUCGUACGCUUUGUGGUUCAACUGAUUUGAAGAGCUUGCUCAGAUAUGACGAUGGACAUUGCAAAGAGUGGCGAACGGGUGAGUAACACGUGGGAAACCUACCUCUUAGCAGGGGAUAACAUUUGGAAACAGAUGCUAAUACCGUAUAACAAUAGCAACCGCAUGGUUGCUACUUAAAAGAUGGUUCUGCUAUCACUAAGAGAUGGUCCCGCGGUGCAUUAGUUAGUUGGUGAGGUAAUGGCUCACCAAGACGAUGAUGCAUAGCCGAGUUGAGAGACUGAUCGGCCACAAUGGGACUGAGACACGGCCCAUACUCCUACGGGAGGCAGCAGUAGGGAAUCUUCCACAAUGGGCGAAAGCCUGAUGGAGCAACGCCGCGUGUGUGAUGAAGGGUUUCGGCUCGUAAAACACUGUUGUAAGAGAAGAAUGACAUUGAGAGUAACUGUUCAAUGUGUGACGGUAUCUUACCAGAAAGGAACGGCUAAAUACGUGCCAGCAGCCGCGGUAAUACGUAUGUUCCAAGCGUUAUCCGGAUUUAUUGGGCGUAAAGCGAGCGCAGACGGUUAUUUAAGUCUGAAGUGAAAGCCCUCAGCUCAACUGAGGAAUUGCUUUGGAAACUGGAUGACUUGAGUGCAGUAGAGGAAAGUGGAACUCCAUGUGUAGCGGUGAAAUGCGUAGAUAUAUGGAAGAACACCAGUGGCGAAGGCGGCUUUCUGGACUGUAACUGACGUUGAGGCUCGAAAGUGUGGGUAGCAAACAGGAUUAGAUACCCUGGUAGUCCACACCGUAAACGAUGAGUGCUAGGUGUUUGAGGGUUUCCGCCCUUAAGUGCCGCAGCUAACGCAUUAAGCACUCCGCCUGGGGAGUACGACCGCAAGGUUGAAACUCAAAGGAAUUGACGGGGACCCGCACAAGCGGUGGAGCAUGUGGUUUAAUUCGAAGCAACGCGAAGAACCUUACCAGGUCUUGACAUCCCUUGACAACUCCAGAGAUGGAGCGUUCCCUUCGGGGACAGGUGACAGGUGUGCAUGGUUGUCGUCAGCUCGUGUCGUGAGAUGUUGGGUUACAUCCCGCAACGAGCGCAACCCUUAUUACUAGUUGCCAGCAUUUAGUUGGGCACUCUAGUGAGACUGCCGGUGACACAACUGGAG
RNAcentral lists this ribosomal RNA (1164 nucleotides) under Weissella cibaria. RNAcentral describes it as "bacterial SSU rRNA". It matches the Rfam family "Bacterial small subunit ribosomal RNA", at positions 50 to 1168 of the family's 1533-position model. The record is from RNAcentral. Lineage: Bacteria; Bacillati; Bacillota; Bacilli; Lactobacillales; Lactobacillaceae.